Molecule: ribosomal RNA, 1540 nt
Filed under: Klebsiella pneumoniae
Lineage: Bacteria; Pseudomonadati; Pseudomonadota; Gammaproteobacteria; Enterobacterales; Enterobacteriaceae
Description: bacterial SSU rRNA
Rfam family: Bacterial small subunit ribosomal RNA
Source: RNAcentral
AAAUUGAAGAGUUUGAUCAUGGCUCAGAUUGAACGCUGGCGGCAGGCCUAACACAUGCAAGUCGAGCGGUAGCACAGAGAGCUUGCUCUCGGGUGACGAGCGGCGGACGGGUGAGUAAUGUCUGGGAAACUGCCUGAUGGAGGGGGAUAACUACUGGAAACGGUAGCUAAUACCGCAUAAUGUCGCAAGACCAAAGUGGGGGACCUUCGGGCCUCAUGCCAUCAGAUGUGCCCAGAUGGGAUUAGCUAGUAGGUGGGGUAAUGGCUCACCUAGGCGACGAUCCCUAGCUGGUCUGAGAGGAUGACCAGCCACACUGGAACUGAGACACGGUCCAGACUCCUACGGGAGGCAGCAGUGGGGAAUAUUGCACAAUGGGCGCAAGCCUGAUGCAGCCAUGCCGCGUGUGUGAAGAAGGCCUUCGGGUUGUAAAGCACUUUCAGCGGGGAGGAAGGCGAUAAGGUUAAUAACCUUGUCGAUUGACGUUACCCGCAGAAGAAGCACCGGCUAACUCCGUGCCAGCAGCCGCGGUAAUACGGAGGGUGCAAGCGUUAAUCGGAAUUACUGGGCGUAAAGCGCACGCAGGCGGUCUGUCAAGUCGGAUGUGAAAUCCCCGGGCUUAACCUGGGAACUGCAUUCGAAACUGGCAGGCUAGAGUCUUGUAGAGGGGGGUAGAAUUCCAGGUGUAGCGGUGAAAUGCGUAGAGAUCUGGAGGAAUACCGGUGGCGAAGGCGGCCCCCUGGACAAAGACUGACGCUCAGGUGCGAAAGCGUGGGGAGCAAACAGGAUUAGAUACCCUGGUAGUCCACGCCGUAAACGAUGUCGAUUUGGAGGUUGUGCCCUUGAGGCGUGGCUUCCGGAGCUAACGCGUUAAAUCGACCGCCUGGGGAGUACGGCCGCAAGGUUAAAACUCAAAUGAAUUGACGGGGGCCCGCACAAGCGGUGGAGCAUGUGGUUUAAUUCGAUGCAACGCGAAGAACCUUACCUGGUCUUGACAUCCACAGAACUUUCCAGAGAUGGAUUGGUGCCUUCGGGAACUGUGAGACAGGUGCUGCAUGGCUGUCGUCAGCUCGUGUUGUGAAAUGUUGGGUUAAGUCCCGCAACGAGCGCAACCCUUAUCCUUUGUUGCCAGCGGUUAGGCCGGGAACUCAAAGGAGACUGCCAGUGAUAAACUGGAGGAAGGUGGGGAUGACGUCAAGUCAUCAUGGCCCUUACGACCAGGGCUACACACGUGCUACAAUGGCAUAUACAAAGAGAAGCGACCUCGCGAGAGCAAGCGGACCUCAUAAAGUAUGUCGUAGUCCGGAUUGGAGUCUGCAACUCGACUCCAUGAAGUCGGAAUCGCUAGUAAUCGUAGAUCAGAAUGCUACGGUGAAUACGUUCCCGGGCCUUGUACACACCGCCCGUCACACCAUGGGAGUGGGUUGCAAAAGAAGUAGGUAGCUUAACCUUCGGGAGGGCGCUUACCACUUUGUGAUUCAUGACUGGGGUGAAGUCGUAACAAGGUAACCGUAGGGGAACCUGCGGUUGGAUCACCUCCUUA